Molecule: non-coding RNA, 250 nt
Filed under: Candidatus Burkholderia verschuerenii
Lineage: Bacteria; Pseudomonadati; Pseudomonadota; Betaproteobacteria; Burkholderiales; Burkholderiaceae
Also listed under: 1 other name
Source: RNAcentral
AGACUUUGAGGCUGUUUUGGUGCUCGCGCGCGAGCCUCUAUCGCGCGCAGUUAAACGGGAAGCAGAAAACGCAUCGUUUCGAUGAAACGGUUGAAACGGCGUUUAGCUGCGCUGCCCCCGCAACGAUGUACGAUCUGCCGCUUUCAACAGAAAUCGGCAAGCAGGUUCCAAGGCCACUGCGCUUAUCGGCGUGGGAAGGCGAACCGGCUCGAUCGUCAGCUCGGAUACCGGCCAGACUUUUAGCGGGAUC